RNAcentral lists this ribosomal RNA (443 nucleotides) under uncultured bacterium. RNAcentral's name for it is "partial 16S ribosomal RNA". It matches the Rfam family "Bacterial small subunit ribosomal RNA", at positions 338 to 795 of the family's 1533-position model. The record is from RNAcentral.
CCUACGGGGGGCAGCAGUGGGGAAUAUUGGGCAAUGGGCGCAAGCCUGACCCAGCAACGCCGCGUGAGGGAAGAAGGCUUUCGGGUUGUAAACUUCUUUUAUCAGGGACGAAGCAGGUGACGGUACCUGAUGAAUAAGCCACGGCUAACUACGUGCCAGCAGCCGCAGUAAUACGUAGGGGGCAGGCGUUAUCCGGAUUUACUGGGUGUAAAGGGCGUGUAGGCGGGAGUGCAAGUCAGAUGUGAAAACUGGGGGCUCAACCGAUGGACUGCAUUUGAAACUGUGCUUCUUGAGUGCUGGAGAGGCAAUCGGAAUUCCGGGUGUAGCGGUGAAAUGCGUAGAUAUACGGAGGAACACCAGUGGCGAAGGCGGAUUGCUGGACAGUAACUGACGCUGAGGCGCGAAAGCGUGGGGAGCAAACAGGAUUAGAUACCCUAGUAGUC